GAUGAACGCUGGCGGCGUGCCUAAUACAUGCAAGUCGAGCGAACAGACGAGGAGCUUGCUCCUCUGACGUUAGCGGCGGACGGGUGAGUAACACGUGGAUAACCUACCUAUAAGACUGGGAUAACUUCGGGAAACCGGAGCUAAUACCGGAUAAUAUAUUGAACCGCAUGGUUCAAUAGUGAAAGACGGUUUUGCUGUCACUUAUAGAUGGAUCCGCGCCGCAUUAGCUAGUUGGUAAGGUAACGGCUUACCAAGGCAACGAUGCGUAGCCGACCUGAGAGGGUGAUCGGCCACACUGGAGCUGAGAAACGGUCCAGACUCCUACGGGAGGCAGCAGUAGGGAAUCUUCCGCAAUGGGCGAAAGCUUGACGGAGCAACGCCGCGUGAGUGAUGAAGGUCUUCGGAUCGUAAAACUCUGUUAUUAGGGAAGAACAAAUGUGUAAGUAACUAUGCACGUCUUGACGGUACCUAAUCAGAAAGCCACGGCUAACUACGUG
This 497-nucleotide ribosomal RNA is filed under the name uncultured bacterium. Its description in RNAcentral is "partial 16S ribosomal RNA". It matches the Rfam family "Bacterial small subunit ribosomal RNA", at positions 28 to 507 of the family's 1533-position model. The record is from RNAcentral.